Molecule: unclassified non-coding RNA, 836 nt
Filed under: uncultured bacterium
Lineage: Bacteria
Description: partial contains 16S ribosomal RNA, 16S-23S ribosomal RNA intergenic spacer
Rfam family: Bacterial small subunit ribosomal RNA (bases 1-217)
Source: RNAcentral
ACGUGAAGUAGGAAUCGCUAGUAAUCGCAGGUCAGCAUACUGCGGUGAAUACGUUCCCGGGCCUUGUACACACCGCCCGUCACACCAUGGAAGUUGGCCAUGCCCGAAGUCGUUACUCCAACCCUUGUGGAGGAGGACGCCGAAGGUGGGGCUAAUGACUGGGGUGAAGUCGUAACAAGGUAGCCGUACCGGAAGGUGCGGCUGGAUCACCUCCUAACAGGGAGACAACAAAAUGUUUAAUAUUAUUAUUUUGUCACCUUAGGUCGAUCGGUAUCUCACGUUCUUAAUUAAUUAAGAAUUUCAUUUCCUAAGUUUUUCUAGGUCACACCCAUUAUUUUUCCUGGGCCAUUAGCUCAGGUGGUUAGAGCGCACCCCUGAUAAGGGUGAGGUCCCUGGUUCAAGUCCAGGAUGGCCCAUAUCUCUAUGUUGGGGGUAUAGCUCAGUUGGUAGAGCGCCUGCUUUGCAAGCAGGAUGUCAGCGGUUCGAGUCCGCUUACCUCCACUGAUUACCACCUCUUCCAUAAUCUUUAGAAAGGAAAUGUUUUGAGUUGUGAUCAAAUUCUGAACGAAUCUAGCUUCCUAAUGAAUUCAUUAAGAUGCUGGACUCAUUGAAUUAAUUUCAUUGUUUUCAGAGAACCUUGACAACUGCAUAGAUUAUUUUUAAAGACAAUAAGCAUCUUUAAUGAUGCAGAUUUAUUAUUUGUGCGAAUGCAUUAAUAACAAUUCUAUUAAGCUGAUGCUUCAAUUUUGAAGUUAUUGGUCAAGCUACAAAGGGCUCACGGAGGAUACCUAGGCACACAGAGGCGAUGAAGGACGUGGUUACCUGCGAUAAGUCUC